GAUGAAGAACGUAGCGAAAUGCGAUAAGUAGUGUGAAUUGCAGAAUUCAGUGAAUCAUCGAAUCUUUGAACGCACAUUGCGCCCCUUGGUAUUCCAUGGGGCAUGCCUGUUCGAGCGUCAUUUGCACCUUCAAGCUCUGCUUGGUGUUGGGUGUUUGUCUCGCCUCUGCGUGUAGACUCGCCUCAAAACAAUUGGCAGCCGGCGUAUUGAUUUCGGAGCGCAGUACAUCUCGCGCUUUGCACUCAUAACGACGACGUCCAAAAGUACAUUUUUACACUCUUGACCUCGGAUCAGGUAGGGAUACCCGCUGAACUUAAGCAUAUCAAUAAGCGGAGGA
Molecule: unclassified non-coding RNA, 337 nt
Filed under: soil metagenome
Description: partial contains 5.8S ribosomal RNA, internal transcribed spacer 2, and large subunit ribosomal RNA
Rfam family: 5.8S ribosomal RNA (bases 1-120)
Source: RNAcentral